RNAcentral lists this small RNA (451 nucleotides) under Pan troglodytes (chimpanzee). RNAcentral describes it as "retained intron". Lineage: Eukaryota; Metazoa; Chordata; Mammalia; Primates; Hominidae. The record is from RNAcentral.
AAGCGGGAAGUGGUGCGCCUUCCUUCAGCCGGGGCUUUAAGCCCUCAGCUUGGCGCUCCUCUGUUUUUCCACCGUAGGACCUUCCUGCAGGCGGUGAGCAGUGAGAAGGUCCGCUCCACUAAUCUCAACUGCUCAGUGAUUGCGGACGUGAGGCAUGACGGCUCCGAGCCCUGCGUGGACGUGCUGUUCGGAGACGGGCAUCGCCUGAUUAUGCGCGGCGCUCAUCUCACCGCUCUGGAAAUGCUCACCGCCUUCGCCUCCCACAUCCGGGCCAGGGACGCGGCGGGCAGCGGGGACAAGCCGGGUGCUGAUACUGGUCGCUGACAGCGCCAAAGAGACCAACAAGAUGAUUUUAGCGUGGACUAGGACACUUAACCUAAGAAGAGUUUCACUUAAUCAUUCAAAUCACUAUCUGGAGGGCCACGGAGCGCAAAAUAAAGUUUAAAACCCU